CAAGCCGGCCAUAGUAAUAGGGUGCGACCCGGUCCCAUUCCGAACCCGGAAGUCAAACCUGUUAUCGCUGCUGUGUUACUGAUCUACGUGAGUGGUUGGGAAGCAGCAGUGCUGGCAUUU
RNAcentral lists this ribosomal RNA (120 nucleotides) under bacterium. RNAcentral also lists the same sequence under 4 other names. The record is from RNAcentral.